RNAcentral lists this long non-coding RNA (1130 nucleotides) under Mustela putorius furo (domestic ferret). RNAcentral describes it as "lncRNA (ENSMPUG00000024470.1)". Lineage: Eukaryota; Metazoa; Chordata; Mammalia; Carnivora; Mustelidae. The record is from RNAcentral.
CAACAGGAAUGAAGAAACCAGCUACAUGUUUUUCAGUCAGGAGCUUAAAUUGUUUUUCUUUUCAAGCACUAUCUCAAGCCUGUGACCACAGAAAGCAUUCCACAAUAAAAAAUCACUUUUCAAGCAACCAUUCAGAAAUUUCCAAGUUCACCUCAUCGGCUCUCCUAUGAUGUCAUUACCUCCUGCUUCCUUGCAACUGCAGGGCAUUGUGGCCCGAAAGCACCACCUAAGCAGGAACUGCCUGGCUCCAAGGAACAGCCCCACUUGUGAAGAGGCCUGAAGAGAUCUGGCCAACAGAUAGGGAGCCCGCCAGGCUUCAAGUCUGUACAAGCACACCGUGCCCCAAGUGACUUCUCCCAGGGAACCAAGAGGGCUGGCGAAUGGAAGCAAAACCCAGUCCUCUUCUGCCUCCUUUUGAAAACAGUCCAAAUCUCAACAGAGUCCAGGCACCCUCCUCAAGGAACGGAGAAGUUGAAUGGGCAUUCAUGCACAUGACUUGGAAGACCCUCCACCCUUCUACGUGUGUAGAAACCAUAUGCAUACACGGUAGGAAGGAAGGUUCUGGUAAGAGAGAGGGCUCUUAAAAAUGAUCAGAAGCAGUUGAGUUAUGCUCCCUCUGUUUAAUAAUCACAAAGCCAGACUUACAGCUCUUAUCAAACCAUUUCGGUGGGGUCUGCAUCCUUUCACCCAUUUCAACAAACUGUCCCAGUGAGGGGAAAGAUUAGACCGUGUAUGUUUACUCUCUGUGCAGCUAUGGCUGUGUUCUCUGCAAGAGAAUGAGAUAGGGAAAUAGUUGUUGACUUAGUCCGGUCUCUGAUGGGUUCCGGUGACGGGAAAAAUUGGCAGCGUGCGCUCAGGUGAAUGAAAGUGAAAUCCUGCACCGUGGUAUCCUUCCUUCUGGAGAGCGAAUUCUUGAAAGGACGGUGUGAGGGGCAGCCCUGUGCUGCCGCUUCAGUUGUAGUUUUGGGCGGUGGGGGGUCGAGGCCUGCAAAGCAGGGAGGGAAGGGAGGCCAGUGUGGAAGACAUCCCAUGACACUCUAGCCGAGAGUGGCCCUCACAACCUUCCUCUCCACCCAUAAGGGGAGACAGAGCUCAGGGAGUGGGGCGUGAUUGCUCAAAGCCUCCCAGGG